RNAcentral lists this long non-coding RNA (1123 nucleotides) under Phascolarctos cinereus (koala). RNAcentral describes it as "lncRNA (ENSPCIG00000023338.2)". The record is from RNAcentral. Lineage: Eukaryota; Metazoa; Chordata; Mammalia; Diprotodontia; Phascolarctidae.
CCUCCAAAUUUUAUGUUCCCAGGGCUAAGCAAUCCCUGGCACAAGUUUAUUGACUGACUUUAGUUACGUAUGCUCAAUAAUAUGCUCAAGAUAAAUCUGGGUUCUUCUGUUACUCUAUGGUUCCAAAAGGCAUGAUGAGAAGAAGAUACACUUCUAUGAUAAAAUGAAGGAUUGAGCAUUCUGAUUCCAGGGUAAGAAGCCAUUAUUCCUCCCGCCUUUCACUGGAAAGAUGCAGUCAGUCAGUCAACAUCCACAAGAACCCUGUUACAGUCUUUGGGAUGGCUCAAGUGACCAGAGGGCUCUGGAAAGUCAUCUCUGUGCCACAAACUGGGCCAGGUUCCACUCAAUUCAAAGGUUUUGGAUCUAGACCCAGUGAGGGACUUCACAGUGUGUGGAGGUGGCCUGUGGAGCAGCCAAACAAAGUGCCAAGAUUGUACCACAAGAUAAGCUGCCCUCCCUCUGUAGGCAAGUAAGGGCCCAAUGAAGUUAUGGUGUGACUGUAAUAUAAUCUGUAGAAGAAAUAUUAUGGAAUAGUACACAAAAAUUCCUAACUAUUCUUCCAACAAGAACAAAUUCUUGAGAUAUUGAAAUAAUAAGGUAAGGAAGCUCCUUUUGAAUACCAGGGAAAUUGUAACUAUAAAUUAAAGUUAAUUGAUGCUUAUUAAGGCUUUCAGGAUAGGUGCUUUAAAAUGUAAAUAGUUUAGGGCAAAAAAAUCUCAUGGAUGUGGGGCCUUCAACUAUUUAGAACAGGUGUGAGAACCCUAAAGAGAGAGAGACCAGAUAGUCUGCUUACUUUACACACAAUUGUAACAGGUUAGUUGUAUAGUUUUCUAUAGCUGCCAAGGAGGUUGGGGGAGGGGAAAAAGGGGAGAAGGAAAGCAAAUGACAGUAAGAAAAAUGUAUAGCUGACAAUGAAGAGUCUGGGACGAUUGUGGGUGUGGAAAUAUCAUUAUAUUACAGCAUAGUAAUUGAUGUUCACAAUGAUGACUACUACUCAUCAAGAAAAGGUUAAAUUACAUUUUGAAUACUCAGCUUUAGAAAGCAGAGAAGUGUGUAAUAGAUUUUAGCAAGGUUUCUAUCUUAAGUGGUUAAAAAAAUAAAAAAAGCUAGUGCUUAAAGGGCA